This 121-nucleotide ribosomal RNA is filed under the name Neogale vison (American mink). The record is from RNAcentral. Lineage: Eukaryota; Metazoa; Chordata; Mammalia; Carnivora; Mustelidae.
GUCUACGGCCAUACCACCCUGAACGCGCCCGAUCUCGUCUGAUCUCGGAAGCUAAGCAGGGUCGGGCCUGGUUAGUACUUGGAUGGGAGAAAAAAGACUGUUCUCCUAGCGGCUGUGGACA